UCGAAACACUGGUUUUCCUACGAUCACCAAAGUUAAGUAAUGUGGAGCCUGGUUAGUACCAAGCUGGGUGACCUCUUGGGAAUACCAGG
Molecule: non-coding RNA, 89 nt
Organism: Acanthosepion pharaonis
Lineage: Eukaryota; Metazoa; Mollusca; Cephalopoda; Sepiida; Sepiidae
Source: the annotation of a GenBank genome assembly